Molecule: long non-coding RNA, 2565 nt
Filed under: Mus musculus (house mouse)
Lineage: Eukaryota; Metazoa; Chordata; Mammalia; Rodentia; Muridae
Description: long non-coding RNA chr18:36577434-36579999
Source: RNAcentral
GCCAGAGAGGGCAUCAGAUCCCAUUGUAGAUGAUUGUGAGCCACCAUGUGGCCACUGGGAAUUGAACUCAGGACUUCUGGAAGAGCAGCCAGUGCUCUUAACCUCUAAGGUAUCUCUCCAGCCCCUUCUUCAUGUAUCUUAUUUUUAAAAUGGUACCUAAAGAGAAAAAAAAAAGAAAAAGAAAAAAAGAAAAAAAAAAAAAAAAACAAGGUGUUGGAUAGAUGUCUCCAUGGUUAGCAGUACUUGCUGUACAAGCAUGAGGACAUUAGAUUGGAUCCCACAACCAUGUAAAAUGUCACGUGUGGCAAGUUUGUGACCCAGUGCAGACCUGGGGUUUGCUGGCUCUCAGUCUAGCUCCUGGUUUAAUGAGAGAUUUGAGUUUAGAAGGACUAAGGUAGACUUUGACAAAGACAUGUGAUGUCCUGUGUACUACACAAAGCAUGUGCACCUACAUACACAUGUGCAUAUACUGCAAAACGUUUACUAUAUUCUCAUUAUACAUACAUGAACAUACAUGCAAAAUAAUAAUGAAUGUUGAAAACCAAAACCUCAAACUAUACUGUUAGAGAUUCAGAAAGAUCAUUGAUAGCCUUUUAAUGUAUGUCGUUAUUAAUGGAAAAUUUAUAUUUCACCUAUUAAUGACAAAAAAGAUAGAAAAAGAAAAUUACAGAGCUUGUUUAUAAAAUUACAUAAAUUCAUUGGGUGUUGGAUAUUUUGCUUUUUAUUUUGAGUCUGAUAGACUCAAUUUAAAAACAUUACUACAGAAGAUAUUAAGUGGAUAUUUGAAUUAAAGGAGGAAAAAUACUGCAUUUUUAGUAUACAGUCUUUUCAUUGCUAAUCAAUAUAGAAUGGGCAAGGGUCCUGUGCUAGAGAUUUUGUUGAUAUGGCAGUUCUUUUCGUGAAAUAAUAUUCAUUUGGCACAAUGAGGGGCAUAUUAAAUCAAAUUCAGAAUUAGGUAUAGGGAAAAAUGUGUAUGUUAUAAAGAUGGAAGUUCUAAAACAUCAGUGGUUAUGCUAUGGCUUUGAUAUUAGUGGUAGAACUAAAAACAUCAAAUUUACUCAUCUUCUGUCAGUUUCAUAUAUGGGGACUAUGUUGUUUCUUGGGCAUAUAUAAUGGUGUUUAAAACAUAAUUUCAAUCUUCAUCUUUUUGCUUUUUUUCCCCUGUACUACCUCAUUGACUAAGGAAUUGGCAAAUUGUCAACUGCUGAUGGUAAAGCUUUUGCAGAUCCUGAAGUACUCCGGAGACUGACAUCCUCAGUUAGCUGUGCCCUGGAUGAAGCCGCUGCUGCACUGACACGGAUGAGAGCAGAGAACACACACAGUACAGGACAAGUGGAUACGUAUGUGUUCAAUAGUUCGCUAGUAUUAAAUGUUUUCUUGAAAACCAUACACCAAAUGGUUAUUUGAAAGGAUGUUAAAGUGGAUAUAUGAAUCUAUAUAUACUAUACAAAUACAAAUAUAUAUACUCUUUGUUGUUGUUUUGGUUUUGGGCUUUUGAGACCGUCUACAUAGCCCUGGCUGUCCUGGAACUCACCAUAGACCAGGAUAGCCUCAAAUUCAGAGCUCUGUUUGCCUCUGCUGGAAUUAUACUUGUAUGCUCACUACAUGUGCCCCCCUCCCAGCUCUUCCCAAAAUACUGCAUUGACCAGGAAAUGUUUGUUUUGUUUUUUGAGACAGGGCCUCACUAUGUAGUUUAUUAGGGUCUCACCUGGCUAGUCUGGAAUGCUUUACAUAUUCUAGAACAUCCCAAAUAGACCAGGCUAGACUCAAAUUCACAGAGAUCUACCUGUCUCUCCCUCCUGAGUGGUGGGAUUAAAGAUGUGUGGCACCAUAUUGGGUACUAGUUUUAUUUUUCAGACAGGAUCUCACUCUGUAGCCUAGGCAGCCCUUGAGUUCUCGGGAGUCCUGCCUCAGCUUCCUUGAGUGCUGCUGAUAAGUGUGAGUCAUCAUGCCUGACUUUGUAUUCAUUUUCUAGUAAACAUUUUUUGCAGUGUUUGUAUUACAGUAUAUAAGAAAUUUAAACUGAAUAAGACCUAAUUUCUAUUUCAAAAUAAGCUACAUAGUCUGAAGGUUACAGUUAAGUCUAACCUGACUACUUAAGUAGUGAUAAGUGGAAUGGAUUAUGUACUCAAUAAUCUAGUUGCUGGUUAUUUAAAUAUUGCCUGUAGAAUAUGAGUUUGACAUCAGAGCUUGUUUGAAGUGAAUAGUCUCAGGCUAUGUGUGGUGGCAUAUGUUUCUAAUACUUAGUAUUCUUGAGGUAGUAGAGGCCAGAGGAUUGGCAGUUUGAGGCUAGCCAUGGCUACAUAAUAAAUUUGAACUCAACCUGAACUGUAUGAGAGAGCCUUUUGCAAAAGAACUUUAAGUUAAAAAAGAAAGAAGGUUGUACUGUAACCCAGAUGUAUUGAUUCAGAUCUGCAUUUUAAUAAUAGACAAUAUGUAUAGACUCAUGGAUUUAAGUUAGGCAUGCUGAUGUACCUGAAAUGGGAUGAUUGAUAUGAGUUCAAGGCCAUCCUAGGCUUUGUAGUAAGUCUGAAGACUGCCUAGACUUUAGUAUAAGACUCCAUC